RNA transcript from Varroa destructor (honeybee mite), 7977 nucleotides. It is a transcript of the gene named RNA binding motif single stranded interacting protein alan shepard, with no coding region annotated. The record is from RefSeq and is a predicted model, not a curated record. Lineage: Eukaryota; Metazoa; Arthropoda; Arachnida; Mesostigmata; Varroidae.
GGUUUGCGCCACCAGCAUUCGGCCGCUCCCUGCUAGGGACGCUACUUUGUGUAUAUUUGCGAGAUAGUAGUAGUUAGGCCCCGAAGGUUUUGAGAAAUCGGCCCAUUUUGCUGCCGAGUGAAGUUGUUGUACAGUUGUGCGCUGGUGCUCGUGCGUCGGGCUUGUGUCUGGGCGGUGCGGUGGACAGUGAAGGUGGCGGUAAUCCAGGCGUAGGGCCAUCGUAAACGUCGCGGACCGCCGGCCCGGACUACGAACGAUUCGGAGUUUUACCGAUUACGCAGAAGAAGGCAGCGGCCGCAGCUGUAGUAGCAGCCAAGGGAACCAGUGAGCAGCAGCAGCAGCAGUAGUGGUGUUACACAGAGAGGCAAGAUGGACAGACAAAUCGCGGAAAGCCGACUCUGACCGAAGGUAGAGGACCUACAACAACCGCUCAAUCGCCGAUGGUUGCGAAUAGUCACCAGAUGAACGGCGGAGGUGGUGGCGGUGGAGGGGCGUACGUAAACGGUACCAGCGAAGAGGUUGGCGGCCAGACCACACUUGGCCUAAUCGCCGCCCCGGCAGGAACACACUACUACUACUACCACCAGCAGAAUUCAUCGCCGCAAGUUCGUUAUCCGCAGGCCAUCCCACAGGCGAUGUACGGUCACCCUAUGGCACUUCAGGUCCCACAGGGUCCGGGCGGCCACGCCGGUCAGGAACUCGGUCCACACGCCGUUGCUGGACAACCCGGAAUGGCGGGUCUCGCUGGUAUGGCGGGACCCCAGCAAGCGCAAGAGUUGUCAAAGACUAAUCUUUACAUUAAAGGACUUACGCAGAACACGACUGAUCGCGACUUGUAUAACCUCUGUCUCCCUUAUGGCACGAUAAUCUCAACCAAAGCGAUCCUCGACAAGGACACACAAAAAUGUAAGGGGUACGGAUUCGUGGACUUUAAUACGGCGGCUGAAGCCGAAAGCGCGGUUAAAGCUCUGCUGUCGCAAGGGAUCCAGGCACAGAUGGCUAAGGUGUCGUCCUCGCAGAGCCUGAACAGCCAGAUCGAGCCGGAUCCCACAAACCUGUACAUAGCCAACCUGCCGGCGCACAUGUCCGAGACGGACCUGGAGAACAUGCUGUCGAAGCAUGGCAGCGUCAUCUCGACCCGCAUUCUCCGCGACGCGAACAUGCAAAGCCGAGGUGUAGGCUUCGCGCGGAUGGAGAGCAAGGAAAAGUGCGAGCACAUCAUCCAUCUCUUCAACGGAAAGACGCUGCACGGCAGCACCGAGGGCCUGCUCGUCAAGUUCGCUGACGGCGGUAACAAAAAGAGGCUUCAGCAGCAGCAAGCGAUGCAAGGCGGGUACGGACACGGGCCAAUGGGAGGCCAUGGUGGCCAUGUGGGCCACCACAGCCAACAUAAUGGAAGCGGGCCUGGUCACGAAGGAGGGGCGAAAGGUUCUGGCCAUCACGGAGGACACCACGGGGGUCAAAUGGUCCACCAUAAUGGAGGUGGCCCAGCCUCAGGUCAGCAGGGGGAGCACGGACACGCCGGCCACCACGGGGCUCACGGCGGUCACGGAGCCCACGGAGGCCGUGGCCAGUGGGCCCCGCGCGCCGCCGACGAGGCCGCCGCACUGUACGGCGCUGAUGGACUUGUGUCGCAGCACUCGCCCAUUGGGCUAGUGCAAACGACGGGCUUCCAUGUUUCCCCCCAGGCUAGGGCGCCCUACGGGACGCCCCAUCCUCAGCUGGCCGGGGGCGCUCUCCAGCUUGGCGGUGCCCUUCAGUAUAUGCAAGCAAAUGGAAUCUACACAGGCGAUCCCGCACUCCUGGGGGCGUACAUGGCUGGUCAACAGCAACCGCCGGCGCCAGCUCAGUACAUUAUCCACUCGGGUCCUGCGCCCCACUCAGGACCACACGGUCCGCACGGACCACAUGCGAGUGCCCAUCCACAUAGUUUCGGGCCGGCCACCCUCGAUGGAGCAACACUCUAUGCCGCCCACGUUGGUCUCGGCCCCGCCGGCCAACUGGCGCAGCAAAUGCAGCAGCUGAGUCUGCAAGCGCCGCCUCACGCGCCGGGCCCGCAGCAUCACCUCGUCCAGCACUACAAUGCCGCCGCGGCCACUGCUGCUGCAGCUGCCGCCGGCUCAUAUAUGACUGCGGCGAUGUUGCCGUCUCUGCCGGCGGCAGCGACAAACGGUACCGAUGUGGGGCCCGCAUCGGUUGAUUCAGGUGUUGGGGCUGAUCCCCAGCAAGACGCCCAGCAGCAACAACAGGUGUUUCAGUCAUCCUCAGGGAGUCAGUCUUCGAACCAGUAUCCGGCGGCUAGCUCCACAGGCAACGGCACUUCAAAUGCAGCAGGCGGACAGGGUGGCAAUGCGGGAGGAGGGCAGGGAGCGCAGGCACAGAAGUGAACAGAGUUACCCUUUGAUCUGUUCUACCCUUGUGCCCCCAAACCACAACGCGAAACGAAUGUUUCAGUUACAACAAUAACGAUAAAGACAACCAAUUACACAACAGCAACAAGAGUAACAACAACCACAACAACGCAGCAAAACUAAAAACAACAAAGCAGCACAGCUAUGAUAUGGUAUCAAUAACAGGCAGAGAGAGAAGCAACAAGAAAGAUAGAACAACCGUAACGAAGAGAUGGGCGGUGAUUACAAAAACAGAGAAUAUAGACAUGGGAAAUCGACAGUUAUUAUUGGUUCAAAUAAAACUCACGACGAGAAUAUAUUAAUACGAUUAAAGCUGGAAUCUUGUGGUACAUGACAACCAUACUGGCGUUUUCUUUGUGACAAUGUCAGUAUGGACCAAUAUACACCUUUCUAGAAUAUGACUUCAUGUCAUACCUCACAAAAAAUAUAUACGAAUAAUGUAACUGGAAACAGUAGUGAUGACAUUGACAGGAACAAGAACAACAAGCAUAUUUGCAGCAAUCACAACAACAGGAACAGCGACACUCAACAGUAACAACAAGAAAAAGUAACAUAAUAAGAGCAGCAAAAUAAAAAUUACUCAAACUCUCUGUCGAUUUGAUGAAUAAUUGGUGAUUGGGAUGAAAAGUGAGUGCGAGUGAAAAAAAAUAAUAACAGCAAGCUGUGUGAAAGUGCGUGCGUGCAUGUGUAAAAUGGAACAGAUGAUCGACGAUGCCGUCAGGAGAAGCAAAAAAUGGAGCAAGUACCGAAGGGCUUCAGGGGGGCUGUCUGCGCGGCGGAGCGGGGAUUGCCCGGGGUCUAAUUGGCCAAAAUGGUAUCGAACCCUAUGGGACAACACCCCAACAGGAAUCGUGAGAACAAUGGUCCAUCACUAAAAAUAAUGAAUAUGAAAAUAACGGGAUGGAUAUAGGAUUUACCCAGGUGAAGCUCGAGCCUAUCUGACGAGAUGGCGGGUCGCUGAGGUGUGGAAAAUACAAAGAAAGUUAGUAAUUUUGGUGAUAAAAUGGCAAGCAGAUUGUGGCAGCAGCUAGAAUUAGAAAAAGGAACACAGGAAUUUUGACCUGAAUAAUACUAAAAACGACAGAUGACAGAAAGCAUUUCGCACAGAGUGGAACGAACAAGAUCAAGAUAGAUCGCGCAAGGUGGAAAAACUUCCUGAUACAGGUUUUGACUUGGUAGACGCAGCCUACGAGUAACGUUCUCAAGGACGAUGUGGGAAGGGAUGAAGGAUGGAAAUGGCUGGUUGACGCUUGCCGCGAUCCUGAAGGGUAAGAAGCACGUAUGGAGACGGCGAAUUUAAUAACCCAGCAGCUGGGCAUAUUUGUUCCCAUGACGACUAUGCAGGUGACGAAGCAAAAUAAAAGAAGAAGCUAGGUGGGCGAUAGUGGCGGACAAGGUGAAUACCGCAAGAAAACAGGAUUUGUUAAACAAACGCCUAACAGGUGGUGAUGAUGUACUAAGCAGAUUUUAACGAAGAUAGAGGAGAAGGUUUAGAAGUGUCGAGGAGUGCAAGCUUCUCAAUAUUGUGCACCUGUGAUUGCGCCCCGCGCAGAUUUGCUAUCCCGCUGCUCCUUCUUAGUAGGUUAGUAGGUUUAGGAGAAAAAUGAAGAUAAUAAUGAUGAGCGUAUUGAGAUGAUUAUGAAGACGAUGAUGAUAUCGAUGGUAACGAUGAAUAGACAGUGGACUAAAGAAGGAGAGAAUGUGUCGAAAGAAAGAUAAUUUAAGAAGAAGAAAACGUAAUGAACGAUUGCAGCGUUGACAUGUGAUUAUGCUACGUCGUAAUCAGCAUAGAGGUAAAUGAGUUGACCGUUUCUCCCGGGUGUCCUCCGGUGGCUAUUUGCGUAUCUCAUCACGUGGUAGUUGUACGAGGUAAUUUAAAGAAAUUAUUUUUAAUGAUCUGCUUUGUUGUUAUUUUAUCUUUGUAAUGCAGUAAGAGAUAAAUAACUAAAUUAUCAAGAACUGUGAAUUUCGGCAUUCUCGCCCAACUACCUCUUGUAGAAACUGUUUUAGCCUGCAAUGAGUGCAAUGAGGGCCAGGGGGUAACUUGCUCUGGAAAUCCAAGCAGCCACACUCCUCCGGGGCGAACGUUUUCCUUUGUGGGUUUAUUAAACAGAAGGAGGAGCGGGAGGUAGGUUUCGUUUCCUGACACUGAAAAACGUAACGGCAAGGCAAAUAAAAACAGCAUAACGCAAGAAGGUGCCGAAAAGACAGGUUGAAGUUUGGCUCGACUAUACCGUUGCUUGGCCACCGGAAGCCAUCUCUCGGAAAAGUCAGGUUUGAAUCCGAUUGUGCGCGUGAAACAAAAACAUGCAGAGUAUUUGAGAUGAUGACGCAUUGACAAACCGAGUAACUGCGUAAAAAGAAAAGAUGAGAAUGUAUGAAAGUAAGGGAGCGAAUGUGUGAAUGCAUGAAAGAGUAAAAGAUUAAGUCAUUGGUCACAUACACACGAAAGCCGUCCUUAAGUCGAGAUGGUCAUCUCUCCGAGGAACUACGGCAUCAUGUGGUACGUGGUGAACACUGAACACAUUAUGGUCGACAUCAUACAGAUAUAAAGAAAUAAUGAAUAACGGCCUACAACAUCGACAACAACUUCAGCAACAACAGUUAUAAUAAAACUGAAGACAACGUAACACAUUUACAUCGAGAUCGACAAGAAAGUGUGUGCGUUUUUCUAAGCAAAAUAUACGAAUACAAAAUCUACACACAGAUGAUCCACAGUUACAUACUAAAAACGAAGGAAAGAAAACGAUACAGGGAUAAACAUGAGAGGUAUACGAGCGAACAGAGGGAAAAGAUCACACUGACCUGUGCUGCCCCGCCCACCAACCGGCUAAAAUAGACGAAACGAAGAAGCAUCAUAGAAAAAUACAAACGCAUAACGCCAACAAAGAGUGCAGAAAACCGGACAAACAGGAAAAAGUGCUGAGGAAAAAUUCUAAAAAAAAAAAAAAAGACAAAACCGAUGAUCGCCUGAUGAUCGACUGAUGAGAUGCGACUUACUACCACCACUAUUACUACCGAUUGAUGCGGCGCGAAAACAGCACACAAAGCGGCUGGCCCGCUCACAAACACUGCAUGGCACUCCUUCGAGUAACGCCCACGCAACGAAGUGAUUACACGACGGACAAGUGUGUGCCGGAUAUCACGAACAACAGUUGUCAUGCAGUGCGAUCGAGCAGUCCAGUGGCAAUGUAUGCCUCGACGGCGGGAGUUGUGUACAAACGAUGGUCAACACGAACUUCCAUAAAACACCUCCCUCCGCCCUGGUUCAGACACUUUCAGCCACUUUCGUCGCUACCUUCUGUCUUGCCCCCCAGCAGCAGGAUACCUUUCCCGCAGCAAACUCAGCAACAAAAACAGAGCAGUGCCUCCUAAUAACAUGAGAUGAUUAAUGAUAAUGAUGAAUAAUAAUGAUGAUGAUACUAAUAAAAAGAUGAAGAAAAAGGGUAAUAAUAAUAAUGAAAGAUAAUGAUAACAAUAAUCGUAAUAAUGCUGACGAUGAAACUGAUGAACCGAUGACAAAGAUUAUGACGACGAUAAUAGUAAUGGUAAUAAUAAUGCUGAUCAUGAUGCUAACGCUGAUGAUGCCUCCCUCUUGAUAGUGACUGACUGAUUGACGAUGAUCACGGCGAUAAUAAUGAUGACAAUGUUGAUGAUGGUUUUGAAUUAUUAUAACAAUAAAGAUGAUCAAAAGAUGGUUAGUACUAAUAGGGGGCACGCAGCAGCGGUGUUAACAGAAAUAACUUUUUGCCGCCUCUCCAAGAAAGCCAGAGAGUAACAAACCAUUAUGUCACCUAGAGUCAUAAAAGCGAAUUAAGUACGACGAUAGUAAUUGAUUAUUGCGUCAUUAGUGGCGUCGAUCAUUUAUGGGCAAACUUUAUGACGAUUAAGCCAUAGCACAGCACCCAAGGGAUUGAAUUGACGAAUUCAUUCAUAGACACAGACCAACAGUCUCGAAUUAUCACAACUAUAUCAACACGCAACGAUAUAACAACACUCGUAUACACAGACACACUUUCCGAGAAAGAGUUGACUUUUACCGCUAACCGCUCUUAAUUUUCUGGAAUUGAUGAGGAAAGGGGAAACCCAAAUUUUUGCGUAGCUACCAGAACCACAUGCGUAGUGUCUGGCAAAUACAAGUGCAGACCUUCGACAUACAUACACAUUAUUAUUACUAUUUAAAAAAGAUGUGGUUUUGUAGUGGUUGGGUGGGCGGUGGCAGAUUGAUUUCAAAUAUUCCUUCUCAUCGGGCGGGUAAACAAUAAAAAUGAUCCGGUCAGACACUUCAAACUACAACAAAGACGCAAACCUUCAUCGGGACAGAGGAGAUCCGAAAACAAGGAAAGAAAGAUAACAACAGGAACAUCAGAAAAAACACCGAUAACAACAAUUUUAAGUUUGCCUGUUCGCUUUUAGUUCUAGGUAGCUAUAAAUAAAGAGAAAAGAAAGAUUGAAAGUAGGGUAGGAACGGACAGGAAAGAUGAUAAUGAAGAUAAUGAUGAUUUUGCUGAAGAGAAUAAUAAAGAAGAUGACGAUGAUAAUAGUAAGAAGAAUAAUAAUAACGACGAUGUCGAUGACAAAAUGUGCGAGGCGGGAUGUAGUAGGUGUAGUAAUAAUUAUAGAGGGAGUGUGACACUCACGCCAGUGUUAAAUGAAAAGAAAAUAUUGCAAAUGUGUAGCCAGCGGACGCGAUGACGUGGUGCGAUUUAGGCUAAGGAAUGACGGCGUGUUUUAGCGGAGAUUCCCACAAGGUUGCCCUGACGACCCGUUGCCAGAGAGAUCGGCAAAGAUUGGUCACCAUCGCAUUAUAUACGAGGUGGCUGGUCUGAAAAUGGGCGCGGCCUUGUUGUUGCGCGCGAAGCUCAAAGUCCUAACCCUACCCGCCCCCCGACGGCCUUUUCAUUGUUCCGCUGUCGCAGACGGUAGUAGUCAGGAACCGGCGGGCUCUGUGUGUGCGUGUGUGAUUGCGUUAAGAUUAACGUGUGCUGAACUCGGUCAGGCUGCGCGGCGGCAUGGGCAGAACGAAAGCGGCCACGGUGCAGUAUGGGGUGGUACAUCGCCUUCAUCUAAUCUUUGGUUAAUCGCAUUGUGUUGUAUCUAUUACCAUUAUAUCAGAGCAAUAAUUACUGCAAUCUUUUAACGCAGCAUUGGCAUCAGAAACAUCUGCGACGCAAAAUUUUUUCAUUGAAAUUUAUCCGUUGUUAAAUAGUAUCAUAAAUAGUAUGGAAAACGUGAAUGAAUACUUUCUACACAACAAGAGUAUUGCGCGCGGCAACAUCCGCUCCCCUGUCUUAGAUAGGUAGAUUGACGGAGAUAAACUGCGGAGGCGAAUAUAAAAAGGAUGAUGAUAACGAUUCAUUGCAGAAAAUAAAUGAAUUGAUAAUAUUGAUAAUAAUGACGAUAAUAAUGGAGAAAGUGGCUAAGACUAAGGGAUAAAGACAAAGAGAUGUAGAACUAAAGAAAAAGAUGACUGAUAGGGCUUCUGGCCACUUGUCGAUUAAGGUCAUAGUAGCAAACAGAGCGUAGUAGGAGAUGGCAAAAAAAAAAGAAAAAACAUCAUGAAAAA